UACGACAUUAAGCUCAAUCCGGAAAAAUGCAUUUUUGGCGUACCCGCCGGAAAGCUCCUGGGCUUCAUCGUCUCCAGUAGAGGAAUUGAAGCAAAUCCAGCUAAAAUCCGAGCCCUGACGCAGUUGGCUAUCCCAACUAACCUCAAGCAAAUCCAGAAGUUAACUGGAUGUGUGGCGGCCUUAAGCAGCUUUAUCUCCCGAUUAGGAGAAAAGGCACUCCCCCUUUAUCGCCUUCUUCGGUGCACCGAACACUUCGAGUGGACGGACGCAGCCAUGGCCGGAUUGGAAGAAAUAAAAGCCAUACUGGCCACCAACCCAAUCUUGGCCGCGCCAAAUGUCGGCGAACCAAUGUUGUUAUAUAUAGCA
This 366-nucleotide ribosomal RNA is filed under the name Triticum aestivum (bread wheat). Its description in RNAcentral is "partial small subunit ribosomal RNA". The record is from RNAcentral. Lineage: Eukaryota; Viridiplantae; Streptophyta; Magnoliopsida; Poales; Poaceae.